UUUCGACACCAUUGACCAUUACGAAAACCAUCCAAACAAACAGCACAACGAGAAUCGGGUUCGGAAACGGAUCCUUUGGUUAUCCGGAAGUUGGGGAGGUUGUUGAUUUCGCGAGGGAGGAAAGCGUCGGUGAGAGAUUGAAGACGUCGAGUUGGAGUAGGACGGAAACGGAGACGGUGGAGAGCACCGGCUAAGAGGAAGAGGUUGAGGAGGAGAAAGGCGGCGAAACCGAGGAAGAGGAAGAAGAGGGAUGUGAGAAGAAGCAUGAUGAUGGGUUUGAGGAAUAGGGAGAGGAGAUUAGGGUUUGGUUUUGGUUGUUCAGGAUCGCCAUGGUGAUGAUGAGGAGGCAUGGUCGUGGUUGAAAUUGAAGGUUUGAAAAAAUGGUGGCAAUAAUAACAGAAGCUUGGAAUAGGAAUUAAACAAAUAGGAAGGAAUAUAGAAGAAAUGAAGGAAGGGUCGGGAUACGCGUAGAUGUAGUUACAAAUCUAGCGGCGGGUACGGUCCACGGGUUUAUAAUAAAUCUAUGUUUGUUUGUUUGGGUUGGGGGUAUUGUUUAUAUUUAUCGUCGUUAUCUUUCUUUUUAUCUUCAAACCAAAUUAAUUCACGGAUUCCAUUUCAUUCCAAAGGGGCAUAUGCUGCUAUAGAUUCCCCUCCGUUAGAGAGUAAUUGAUGCCUCAUGAGUAAUGAAUGGGUGAGAUCAAAUCUCUGUAAAGUUGGUUAAACUACGGAUUUGAAUUUGGCGUUAUAGAAAAGCACACUGUUCCACACUGGAAUGAAUCACAGUCGUUCAAAUCACAUUGAAUGGCUCAGAUUGCACACAAAUUUAACGCAGUUAAAUAAUUUCAGUAAUUGAUUUAAAUCGAACGGUCCUCAUCUGUUACAGCGUCCUACUGUAAUAGCAGGAAAUCCAAACACUGCAUCAAUUGGGGUUGUUGGAUCGCUUUUAUAUUGUCGAGAUCAUCUAAUGUGUGAAGUAGUAGUUAUAGAGAGAGUAUUUGAUCUCGCAUCUAUUAAACAUUAAAAAUUGAGAUGUAAUGAUAGAGAUUUAUUGAUAGAUAAUGAUAUAAACUUAUUAAUUAUUAGUGAAUUCAUUUAAUGAUUUUUUUUCUAGUGAUGGGGUUACAGGAUAAAGUGCUUAUUUAGUACUAUUAUCGAAAAGUAAUAAAUGAAUGAUGUAUAUAUAUAUAUGAGACCCAAUUAAGUAAGGACUUUCAUGCAAUCCUUCGUCAAUGNCUGGAAACACCACUUCCCGUUCGACUUGCAUGUGUAAAGCAUGCCGCCAGCGUUCAUCCUGAGCCAGGAUCAAACUCUCCAUGAGAUUCCUAGUUACAUUACUUAUAGCUUCCUUGUUUGUAGACAAAGCUGAUUCGGAAAUUCAUUUCAAUGAAUAACUUGUAUUCAAGGGCUUAAUAUUCGCCGGGAGAUCCCUCCCAUAAAUAUUAUAUGGUCCUAUAUCACCUUAUGUCAACCCCAUAUCCAAUAUCCAUAAUGGUUAUUUGAUAUUUGGACUGGAAGCCAAGUGAACAUAUUUUUCCACUGUUUAGUCAAAUUCUUGUGUGCGGCGGAGUCCACUUGACCACCAUUGUAGAUCUCAUCCUCCCGCAACUGCAACCCAGAAAAUUUUGAGUGAUUCAGUGUUUUUUUUUAUGCAAUGUUUGAAUGUCAGCUAAUAUUUCAAUAGAAAAUCGAUUGAAUGCUUUGAUUUAUACAAUUAAUAAUUGAAGAUUUGAACAUAGGUAGUUGUGUAAGCUUUUCUCCAUGCAGGAUUAAAUAUUGAGACUUGUAUAUGGCAGUGGCGGUCCGUUUGCAGAGAUGGCUUGGCUUUUGAGAUGCCAAUAAUAAAAAAUAAAAAUAAAAAAGUAAUAAAAACAUUUCAUUCUUUAAAUGCCGGUAAACAAGGUAAGUAGAUAAAUAAGUGAAAACGUGGCACCAUACACAUAAAAAGUGUUUGUUGGAGAGUGUUUGAGUGAGUGACCAUAGCAUUAUUCAUUAUGGCUCGCCUUCUUUUGAACCUAUAUACUCUUUAUUUUGAAAGACAACAUUCAGGGUUAACUUCGGAAACCUCUUAGUCCUUAGAAUUCCAUUUGUUUUAUAGAGGACAUGGAUACACGCAUUGAUUAUCUACGAGAUUUCUCUAUAAAUUAUCUUGUGUUGAAUUGUUGAGGGGCUAAUGAUUGUAAUUUUCAUUCUAUUAUCUACGACAACGAGAUAAUUUGUCGUGUUGAUUUUUUAGCGCAUCUUGAGACAAGUUAUUAAGAAAAUUUGUAUGCAAACUGUUACAUUGGAUGUUGUUCACAUUUUUGCUCGGAUCUGGUGCCUCUGGAGAUCAAAUAAGUUUUGAGAUGAAAAAACAAAGAAAUAGGACAUAACACAAACUACACUUAGAAAAUAAGAAGUCACCAAAAAGAACAAAUAAAGGUUCAACCUUGAGAAAAAUACAAAGCACAAAAAAACAAGUAGCUACUAAAAGGGGAAAAAUACAAAAUCAACAUGACAUAAAAUCAUUAACACCCAAAAACAUCAAUCACGGUCUGCUGGAUCCUGAUCGAACCACCAUCUCCCGAAACAUCAAAGCUAGGAAGCACUUGACAACCUACAAAAGAAAUUAAAGUGAACAAUCCCCAACGGGAUGAGCGACUAGGACAAGGUCCCACUACCAGAGAUAGGGCGACCUAGAACGCCUCCUAUACAUAAUAAUAUUGGGCUCCAACAUACGACAUAGGUCACUUCUGACUCAUAAAAGGUACAUUGCCUAGCUUAACCACCCAAAGAUAUUAUAUCAAAUAUGGAGGGCCAUGUUACAAGUGACAAACACAUGAAUGACUGAUUCCUCAAUCAAUUCACAAAAGGAGGAUGAGGAAGCAUUCAGAUCCAUGAUCACCCUUAUUUUAAAAAGAUUAUCACGGGUAAUGAUCCUAUAACGGAUAAGCUUCCAAGAGAAUGCGAUCACCUUGACAUUUCCCUACAUAUGGUAUUUUGUGUUGUUAAAUACUAACAUGGUAACUUGUAUUAUGCAUACAUAUAUGUAAAAGGAAAUAUCUUCUUAAACACAGUUGAACACGCUAGGAAGGGACAAUGACAAAGAUCACACAUCUUAUCUGCAAACAUUAUGUUUACCACGCUCCUCGGAGACCAUCACUGUAAUUUAUAAAGAGAAAAUUUCAUUCGACUGAAAGGAUUUCAGAACAUAAUAAUUUACCAAGUGACAAGGUAGCAUAGAGAUGAUCAAUUGGAAGACGAACAUAGGAUUUGAAGUAAUAAGAAAGUCAUGAAUCCAACUAUUCACAAGUAACUUUGUUAUUUUUAGAAAAACACAUUAAUGAUUCUAUUUUAUCCAAAAGGUGGGAGAAAAUAUCUUUAUUCAUACAACUUUUAAAAUGGAUAUAUAAUGGACUUCACUUAUAUAUACCAUUAAAAUGGAAAUGUCAUUGACAUUGACCAAUCCAAUUAUAAUAAAUACAUCAAUUCAAUUAUUUUUUUUUUCUCUCUCUUUCACAUAUUUUUAUGUUCAAAAAAUUUAUAUUAAGUGUAGCACGGUGUUACAUUAAAUGGACCAAUGUCAUCUGAUAUUAUGUCACACAAUUGACAUCCUAUAAUACUCUAACUAUUUCAUUUUGAACUGCAACAAUAAUAAUAUUAAUAAUCCUUUAGGUGUUUUCCCUUUAAAUAAACACUAUAGUGUAGACACAUUGGAACCAAAAGAUAUAAAAAUAAAUACGGAGUAACCACUUUCAUAUUAUUUUUUUGUUUUGUCUUUCAUAGUUGCCACAAUGUUUACCAACAGGCAAUAACAACAUUAUCUAUUGCGGUGGUCUCCCCCCACAGAGAUAAGGUUGUCAUAAUCACAAGUCUAUCCCAGUCCUCAUCCAACUUCAAUUAAAAAUGUUGUAAGCAUGCACAAGAUCAGGCAUUGUCUCUAGCUAGUCGUAGAGGCCGUUGCAUCGUGCAAGAGGCAGUAGAUGGUAUCGUUUAAAUCUCCAUAAUAGUAUACAAAUAAUUUCUACUGACGAUUUAUGGGCAUAAAACUACUUUAGAAAUAGAAAACAAGGUUACAACACAACAGCGCACACUACUUUCAUAAUCUUUGACACAGGUCGAAUAUCAGCUAUCUCCCUGUAACUAUUAUGAACUUAUAUCUAGAUUAUAAGCAAAUAUUGUCUAAUCCCUACAACUUUACCAAAAUAUAUAAGUUUCCAGUACAAUGCAACCAUAAAUUGUCCGCAUAAACAAAAAAUACAACUAUAAACUGAUUAAGAAUAUAUAAUCUCAACACUUGUGUACUCCAAUGCAAAGUCAAUUUCGGGAAAUGCUACACUAAUCAAUUUGUCAUGCAUCUAACAAUGACAGAAUGUCUUAUUCAAUAUAUAAAAUGCUUUCUACUCAUUGUUUUUGUCUCUAUCUCCUUCAAACAUAAUAUCUGUUAUGUUAAAGAUCUUGGUAUUAAACAGGAGGAAAGAGUGAAGGAUUGCUUGAUAACAACAAUACAGUAAUUAACGAGCGAUCUAACUCUCAAGAUCGUACGAUCUUGCGAUUCAACAAGCCACCACCGAUCUGGAGCGGGUUGAAGAUCGGAGAUCGCGACGGAUUGGGCGUCGCGCCGAGGAAAAACGGAAACUCGGCGAAUCGUUUUUUUUUUUUUUCGAUUCAAAGAAGGGGUUUGGGCGGUUCAGAUGACGUUGACCUGAUCCGAUUUGGUUGCGACCCGGGUUGGUUAUUGCGAUUUCAACCCGUAUCGCUUUGAAAGGUCAUAAUCUAUCAUUAAUUUCGUUUUUUUGGGACUUGCUGGUGUUUAAUUGAAUCAUUAGGUUAGGAAAUUGGGAUUUUUUUCUCAUCUUCUCUGAAAUUGUAAUUCAUUCAAUGAAUCAAUUCCCUCUCAUAUUUUAUUUAUUCUAUAAAAACAAGUCCAUUGUGCAAUUCCUUCUCAAUCUCACUGUGCAAUUCCAAAAAGACAGUACUUCAAUUCCCUCACAUCUUUCACGUUUUUAGACGAUGUUUAUUAUGAUGUUUCAGAUGAUAUUAUAGAUUUUUGUAGUUACUUUUAUAAUUUUGUCUAUUAUGGAAGAUCUUACAAUCCUUGUUACUAUCCUACAAUCUACGCUUUUUCUAUAUCCCAAUGAUCUUUAGUCGGAUCCUGAUUUCGACAACCAUGCUCCCAUGCCCAAUCAGAAAAUAAUCAAUCUUCUUUAAUAUGUCCUUUGCUUCUUUAAUAUGUCCUUUAUAUAAAAAAAGAGCAAGGACUUCAUGUCAAAAUUUUACAGGGGGAUGCAUUCAUCAAGAACACAAGUUAAAACACCAAAUUUCAUUGGCUUUUUGGAUUGGUAUAUCUGAGUUUACCUACUACCAUAAACACUUAUGAGACAAUUUAAGAGAGCUUAUGGAAAUAUCUUAUAACAUGUCUAUAAGUUGUUCUCCGCUUAUUUUCAUAAUCUAUGAAGGAUAAAUAAAAACAAACGUAUAUCAAAAUAGCUAGCCUAUAUUUUAUCUUUUGUUUUGUUAUGGAAAUAGCUUAUUGCCAUACACAAACAGGACCUCUAACCAAUUAGAGAACGCAAUUGAUUAGGCAGAUUGUAAUCAUGAUCCAAACAAAUUGAACCAAGCAAUUGAGAGCAAACAAUAAAACUACCAAAAUCUAAGGAUCAAGGACUGUGCAAAAAUGAUGAAAUGAAACUCGGGUGAAGACAAUUCCAUUAAAAACUACUCUGAGAAUCAUAAGAUUACAAAAGCACAAUCCCCCACAAAUUAGCUUCCUCCAAAAUGGGAAACAUGUAAAAAAAAAUAACCUUCGUGCAAUUCAAGCACAAGGGUACUAACUACUAAUACUAUUCUACUAUACAUUCAUAGAUUAAAUUCAUUCAACAUUAAUAUUACAUAGCCUGAGAAAAAGCUAAAAAAAAAAACUCACAAGCUAUUUAUUAUUACAAAAGGGUGAAACCAUUGUUGUUAUUAGAGCAAUUCCAAAAUCGUGAAGAACCUUCUUCAUCUUGUUCUACAACCGAACCUUGAGAAGUUUGAGGGUUAGACCGAACCGGUGUACGGCAAGUAGGACACGUGGCAACCUUAAGAAGCCACGUAUCAAUACAUCUCCGAUGAAAAACAUGACCACAAGCAGCGAGAUUUCGACACCAUUGACCAUUACGAAAACCAUCCAAACAAACAGCACAACGAGAAUCGGGUUCGGAAACGGAUCCUUUGGUUAUCCGGAAGUUGGGGAGGUUGUUGAUUUCGCGAGGGAGGAAAGCGUCGGUGAGAGAUUGAAGACGUCGAGUUGGAGUAGGACGGAAACGGAGACGGUGGAGAGCACCGGCUAAGAGGAAGAGGUUGAGGAGGAGAAAGGCGGCGAAACCGAGGAAGAGGAAGAAGAGGGAUGUGAGAAGAAGCAUGAUGAUGGGUUUGAGGAAUAGGGAGAGGAGAUUAGGGUUUGGUUUUGGUUGUUCAGGAUCGCCAUGGUGAUGAUGAGGAGGCAUGGUCGUGGUUGAAAUUGAAGGUUUGAAAAAAUGGUGGCAAUAAUAACAGAAGCUUGGAAUAGGAAUUAAACAAAUAGGAAGGAAUAUAGAAGAAAUGAAGGAAGGGUCGGGAUACGCGUAGAUGUAGUUACAAAUCUAGCGGCGGGUACGGUCCACGGGUUUAUAAUAAAUCUAUGUUUGUUUGUUUGGGUUGGGGGUAUUGUUUAUAUUUAUCGUCGUUAUCUUUCUUUUUAUCUUCAAACCAAAUUAAUUC
This 6717-nucleotide long non-coding RNA is filed under the name Medicago truncatula (barrel medic). RNAcentral's name for it is "long non-coding RNA (MTRU_LNC002610)". Lineage: Eukaryota; Viridiplantae; Streptophyta; Magnoliopsida; Fabales; Fabaceae. The record is from RNAcentral.